GUUUAAUUUUGGGAUAUAUUUAGUACAAUAAUAAAUUAGACCACCCAUCAGCUAAAUUCCCUCUCCUCUGCACUGCACACCGCUAUUUUGGCGCUAAAGCCACCGCAUUGCAGUUCGGGGCAAGUAGUGGCGUAAAGUUUUGCCCCUUUUUCCCCUCGUUAUCCCCGCUCUGCCCUGGGGCCGGGGAGCCGGGUUUAGUGCAUUGGCCUUAUGCGAGUAUACAUAACUAUAAUAUAACUGUUACCUUAAACUAAAAAUAUAAAUACAUGUAACAGAAGCAUUUUCCGAAAACGUGCAUAACGAAAGUUAACAAAAUGGAAUUCCAAAUGUAUCACAACCUCUCGUUGGUUAUUCUGCACAGACUAAUGUAAAAGUUCGUGAUGUCGGCAAGAACCGGAAAGUUACGAUUACACCAUAUGCAUGUACAUGUAUGUUGGAAUUUCCUAUUUGGAAUUUCCUACAACGGAUCGAAGUUAACAAAAUGGAAUUCCAAAUGUAUCACAACCUCUCGUUGGUUAUUCUGCACAGACUGUUGUAAAAGUCUGUGAUGUCGGGGAAACCGGAAAGUUACGAUUGCAUCAUAUGUAUGCAUGUUGGAAUUUCCUAUUUGGAAUUUCCUACAACGGAUCGAAAGGAAAACUUCAUAUAUCUUCGUGAUAUUGGGAGUAACAGACGUUUUUAUUAUAUAUAAUAAAAGAACCGCAUCUACAAAAACAAUGCUUUUAAAACCAUCGGACAUAUAUUAUUGCCAAAAUUCCAUCAAAAACACAUUUUCGAAUGGGAAAAAAAUCGGAGAGACUCUGGACGAUUUAUGUGAAGGAAGGACGUCUCUGUCAAGCUUCCCAAAGAUCCGGGUGACGCAAAAGAAUUCCAAAUGGUACACAACAGAUAACAGACGUCUUUGGAUUUUUAGACAUCUAUACAGACUGGGUAAAUGCGGGGAAAUUCCGGUGGUCCAGACCGGAGACAUCCCUUCAAGGAAAAUGACUACCACCAAUGGCGGUGUAUCAAUUACAGUCCGCGGUCGAGGCGGACCGGGAGGGGUAUGGCAUGAUAAGGGGACAGAGGACCUAAAAAGGAAAACAAAUGUAUUUCAGUAUGACCAGAAACACAAUUCCAAAUAUUUAAAAAUCUGUUUCACAAGCAGAUAACCAGUUGCACAGCAUUAUUCAAUGAUAUAUGACAUACAUUGAAGAAAAUAAUAGUUUGCAUAAUAAUAAUAAUAAAAAAUUGCUCCUUCAAAAAAUGACUGACAGCAAUUUAUAUUUACCCCCACCAAGCCAAAAUCACACCUAAAAUAUACCAAUAUGGGCAAUCUUCAUGAAGGUGCAGCAUACUCCAGAAUCCGCCCGAUUCCUUUAAAAAUAUCAGUAACACGCAGUGCAAGCUAUGGCAUUUUCAGAAAUGACAAAUAAAGUGUCUGUCAUACGUUUAGAUUUUUCACAAAAUUUAUCUGAAAUUUCUUACUUGUUUGGCGCCAACUGUCAAAGCUAGAUUUUUAACUUUUUUUCACCUCCAUUCGGAGAGUCAGAAAUACAUACUUACAAAGCUACCAAAAUGAUUAGUUUCGGGUAAAAAACAAAAAUAUAUCUCAUUUCCUACACACAAACAAGAAAGAAUUACAAUGACAGAGAAAUAUCAGAAGUUAUCAGUACCUUCAAAACACCAUGUCUGAGUUAUUAAAAAAUUUGACGGGGCCAUCAUUCGAAUAUGUCCCCUGCCCCCUAAGCAUGACGGAGCAGGAAAGAACUUAGAUGGUACCUACGCAUGUACUUGGCCGGAAGACAGUGACUCCGACGAUUUCGGAUAUGAUUUUUCGGAUAACGAGUGUUUCGGAAUGACUUUUGGUAAUUUUUACCAUUUGUUAGACGAGGUGAAGAUACGGUAUUUUUGUUAAACAGAUCAGUUUGUUUUUCGUUUUGUUUUUGUUUUAAACUUCUUAUUUUUAAGCCACGCUUGAUGAAUAUGUUUGAUCGUUACUUAUUUUUUAAAAUCUUUUUUAAGUUAUAAUGAUAUACAUGUAGUUU
Molecule: long non-coding RNA, 2027 nt
Organism: Ruditapes philippinarum (Manila clam)
Lineage: Eukaryota; Metazoa; Mollusca; Bivalvia; Venerida; Veneridae
Exons: 2
Source: RefSeq, a predicted model, not a curated record